CCUACGGGUGGCUGCAGUGGGGAAUAUUGGACAAUGGGCGAAAGCCUGAUCCAGCCAUGCCGCGUGUGUGAAGAAGGCCUUCGGGUUGUAAAGCACUUUCAGUGGGGAAGAAAGCCUUGGGGCUAAUACCCUCGAGGAAGGACAUCACCCACAGAAGAAGCAACGGCUAACUCCGUGCCAGCAGCCGCGGUAAUACGGAGGGUGCGUGCGUUAAUCGGAAUUACUGGGCGUAAAGCGCGCGUAGGCGGUCUGAUAAGCCGGUUGUGAAAGCCCCGGGCUCAACCUGGGAACGGCAUCCGGAACUGUCAGGCUAGAGUGCAGGAGAGGAAGGUAGAAUUCCCGGUGUAGCGGUGAAAUGCGUAGAGAUCGGGAGGAAUACCAGUGGCGAAGGCGGCCUUCUGGACUGACACUGACGCUGAGGUGCGAAAGCGUGGGUAGCAAACAGGAUUAGAUACCCUUGUAGUC
RNAcentral lists this ribosomal RNA (465 nucleotides) under Vreelandella stevensii. RNAcentral describes it as "partial 16S ribosomal RNA". It matches the Rfam family "Bacterial small subunit ribosomal RNA", at positions 338 to 795 of the family's 1533-position model. The record is from RNAcentral. Lineage: Bacteria; Pseudomonadati; Pseudomonadota; Gammaproteobacteria; Oceanospirillales; Halomonadaceae.